Molecule: ribosomal RNA, 253 nt
Filed under: uncultured bacterium
Lineage: Bacteria
Description: partial 16S ribosomal RNA
Rfam family: Bacterial small subunit ribosomal RNA
Source: RNAcentral
UACGUAGGGGGCAAGCGUUGUCCGGAAUCACUGGGCGUAAAGGGCGCGUAGGCGGCGCGGGAAGUCAUCGGUGAAAGUUCAGGGCUCAACUCUGAAUCGGCCGGUGAUACUCUCGUGCUCGAGCACUGUAGAGGCAGGUGGAAUUCCGGGUGUAGCGGUGGAAUGCGUAGAGAUCCGGAAGAACACCGGUGGCGAAGGCGGCCUGCUGGGCAGUAGCUGACGCUGAUGCGCGACAGCGUGGGGAGCAAACAGG